UACGUAGGGGGCAAGCGUUGUCCGGAUUUAUUGGGCGUAAAGCGCACGUAGGCGGAUUGUUAAGUCGGGGGUGAAAUCCUGGAGCUCAACUCCAGAACUGCCUUCGAUACUGGCGAUCUCGAGUUCGGGAGAGGUGAGUGGAACUGCGAGUGUAGAGGUGAAAUUCGUAGAUAUUCGCAAGAACACCAGUGGCGAAGGCGGCUCACUGGCCCGAUACUGACGCUGAGGUGCGAAAGCGUGGGGAGCAAACAGG
RNAcentral lists this ribosomal RNA (253 nucleotides) under uncultured bacterium. RNAcentral describes it as "partial 16S ribosomal RNA". It matches the Rfam family "Bacterial small subunit ribosomal RNA", at positions 524 to 776 of the family's 1533-position model. The record is from RNAcentral.